Long non-coding RNA from Taeniopygia guttata (zebra finch), 1824 nucleotides. The record is from Ensembl. Lineage: Eukaryota; Metazoa; Chordata; Aves; Passeriformes; Estrildidae.
UUUUUUUUUUUUUUUUUUUUUUUUUUUUUUUUUGAGGAAGUGUGUUGGGGGUGUGGGUUUUUGUAAUGCAGAAGUCAAGUAUUGAUUACUAUGCAGUGAGAUUACCCAGACUGUACUGGGUUUAGACAACUGCCCAAAGAGAUUUUGUAUAAACUUCAGAGGAAGAGAAAGAGAAUAUUCUUAGAUGGAUGAAAUUGUCUUUGUACUAUGCAGCAAAUAAUUUUUAAAGGAGUUCAUUAAAAAGUUAUACUAUUUUUUUUUUUAAUAUUGUGACUUAAGAAGUAUAUUAGACCCUACAGUGAAGUUGUUCUGCAUAAUACUACUCAUUAUAUGCAUUGGAGCACAGUAGCUUCUUAAAAUCCAAAAGCUCUCUCCUUGGUUUAAGAAAGAGUGGAUAUUUGUACUGCUGUAUCAACAGUCAGAUCUGCUCAGUUAGCAUUACAGUAAAUUCGACUUUCAGCUGCCAGUAGCUUGGCAAUUAGAGUUUCCUGCUUUAUUGUUAAACACUGCAAUUGAACUCUGCUGCUUUUCAUUUGUGAUCCAGCUUGGGAUGUCAGCUGACACCGAAAUGAAUGUCCUAACCUCCAAUUCAGUGGCUUAAAGGCUAUCUCCCCAACAUUCACUGCCAAGAUGAAAUCCAGAAAUUAUUAUUCACCAGCAGUAAACAGGGCCUGUUUUUGCAGGCACCCAUUCAUAAUAAAGCAAGCAGGACAGCUGGGAAUUCCAGUUAAACGUGCUUUUCAUAUCCACACUGAAAAGCAGAAUAUUAAAAGUAAUGUAGCUGUAUUUGUAAAGAAGAACUUAAGUGAUAUCUUAGCAGCUCUCCAUUAAUACUUGUAAUAAUUCUUUUAAAAAGUAACUUCAUAAGAAGGUACUCUAAGAUUUUUCAGUGCAGUUAGGUACGAAAUAAAUACCUUCCAAAAGUAUGGGUGGAUCUCCACUCUUCUGCCACUUUCAGAUAGAAGAUGACCUCUGACAAGCAAGGCACAGAGCAAAUCCCAAUUCUAAACAUAUUUUUCAUUAAACUCCAGACUAGAGAUAACUCCUGAAAAUCUUCAUCUAACUUUUUCUUUGAAUAACACAAAGGGUAGACUAGGAAAGCUGAGGAAAUACAGAGAGAGCUGCUUCCAUGUAAAGUAUUACUUUGGAAAGGCUGAACAGGUGAUUCUGAGAGGAAAGCAAUUAUUACUGCUGCCUAGCUCCCCUAACACACCUCCCACCCCCACCAAGUUCUUUUAGGUUUACUGAAGAAUCAGAAUCUAUGCCAAAGCAAUUAAGGUUUUAUACUGGUUAGACUGAAUUUACCCAGUUCAGCACUGUGCUGUGAGAUAAUGAACAUUUCUAUAUGCUCCUUUGCCAAGCUUUUCCUCUGAAGAAAGUUUAUUAUAGACCACAGAAAUAACUUUAUUUUGUAUCUGUUUACUUGCAACUUUAACCCCCAUGACCAGAAUUUUCCUUUGUGUUUACAAGUAAAUUAUACCAGUACUUUCUACUCCAUCCCACACCCCUUUUUGGAAAUAGGCCAACACAUGUGGAAAGUGCAGGUACAGAACUGAACCAUCCCAAUACUUCAUUUACUACUGAGCAAGCACACCUAGCACACACUAAGUACAUCAUAUUGAUACCACUGGGUUUCAAAAAAUAGGUAUUGCUUGCACUAAAACUUGAGCAAAUAAUUAUUUAAAAUAGUAAAUCUUUGUCUCAUUUUGGGAGGAAAAAAAAUAAGAAGGAAAAAAAGUACUUUUCCAUAGGACCAAAAAAACACAAAGCCAAAAUAAACAAGCAAAAAACACCCAAACCAUAAAAAAAAAAAAAAAAAAAAAA